UACAGAGGUCCCAAGCGUUGUUCGGAUUCAUUGGGCGUAAAGGGUGCGUAGGCGGCGCGGUAAGUCGGGUGUGAAAUCUCGGAGCUUAACUCCGAAACUGCAUUCGAUACUGCCGUGCUUGAGGACUGGAGAGGAGACUGGAAUUUACGGUGUAGCGGUGAAAUGCGUAGAUAUCAGGAGGAACACCGAUGGCGAAGGCAGGUCUCUGGGCUGACACUGACGCUCAUGCACGAAAGCAUGGGGAGCAAACAGG
Molecule: ribosomal RNA, 253 nt
Filed under: uncultured bacterium
Lineage: Bacteria
Description: partial 16S ribosomal RNA
Rfam family: Bacterial small subunit ribosomal RNA
Source: RNAcentral